RNAcentral lists this ribosomal RNA (571 nucleotides) under uncultured archaeon. RNAcentral describes it as "bacterial SSU rRNA". It matches the Rfam family "Archaeal small subunit ribosomal RNA", at positions 319 to 893 of the family's 1478-position model. The record is from RNAcentral.
GAUUCGGGGUGCACCAGGCGCGAAAACUUUACAAUGCGGGCAACCGCGAUAAGGGGACCUCGAGUGCCGACAUCAAAUGUCGGCUGUCGUGAUGCCUAAAAAGCAUUACAUAGCAAGGGCCGGGCAAGACCGGUGCCAGCCGCCGCGGUAACACCGGCGGCUCGAGUGGUGACCGCUAUUAUUGGGUUUAAAGGGUCUGUAGCCGGCCGGAUAAGUCUCUUGGGAAAUCUGGCCGCUCAACGGCCAGGCUUUCAGGAGAUACUGUCUGGCUCGAGGCCGGGAGAGGUGAGAGGUACUUCAGGGGUAGGGGUGAAAUCUUGUAAUCCUUGAAGGACCACCAGUGGCGAAGGCGUCUCACCAGAACGGACCUGACGGCAAGGGACGAAAGCUAGGGGCACGAACCGGAUUAGAUACCCGGGUAGUCCUAGCCGUAAACGAUACUCGCUAGGUGUCGGCCACGGUGCGACCGUGGUCGGUGCCGCAGGGAAACCGUGAAGCGAGCCACCUGGGAAGUACGGCCGCAAGGCUGAAACUUAAAGGAAUUGGCGGGGGAGCACAAUCACUAGUGAAU